Molecule: non-coding RNA, 2739 nt
Organism: Cicer arietinum (chickpea)
Lineage: Eukaryota; Viridiplantae; Streptophyta; Magnoliopsida; Fabales; Fabaceae
Source: RefSeq, a predicted model, not a curated record
AAAGAAUAAAGAAUGUAUAAUUAAAGAGCGUGUCAGCCAGAUGCUGCAUCUCUACUUCUUUGUACCAUAAAUCACUCAUUGUUUAGAAUUUGCAUCCACAUUCACUUUCUUGAAAGCAUAGUAUCCAGAAGAGAGUAAAAGCUAGUCAACAUCAGGGUUGUAUUUGGAGAUUGAUGGUAAUUUGAUAUGGUACAACUCAACUACUCAUUGUUUCAAGCUGUGUUGUACAAAGUUGUGGAAAGUUUCUGUAUUUUGGAAAGUUUUCAUAUGCUUUGAGUUUUUCUUUUUGGUGAUAAAAAAUUUAGAUUCGAGGAAGCAAUCUGGGAGAACCAUCAAUCUCAUUGAUGAUUUAUAAUAGAACCUACGCAUAACUUACCAACUGUGAAAUUUUGAGUUUGAACCGAAGUCACAACAAGUGCGAACGAAAGGUCCAACUAUAUGUGCCAACAAUAAUAGAAUUUACGUAUAACCUACCAAUUGUGAAAUUUUGGAUUUGAACCAAAAUCACAGCAGGUGUGAGCGGAAGGUCCAACUAUCUGUGCCAACUAUAGUUGGCAUAUGCUUAAGGGUUUAGUUUAGUGUCAACUUUGGAGCUAGUAGGGUUAAUUGAAAGGCAUGUUUUGGAGGGUUGCAUCCCCAAAAGGUUCUUCAAAUGCAAGACCAAUUUCUUGGAUUGUAGUUUCAUUUGGAGUAGUUGCAGUAUUCUUAACUUUUGCUUCUUGGUUUAUUCUAUCAAAUCCUAUUGGUUCCACUUUUCAUGGUUAUUUCUAUGGUGUAGAGAAUUCAGCUUCGAAAGCUUCUGAUUUUUCAGUCUCUCAAACGAAUACAACUUCUGUUGAUCUUCACAUGAAUGCAAAUUUAGAUUUAGUAGAUAAUAAACCACUCGCUGAUCUUCAACCAUCGAUAGUUUCAAGCGGUGUGUCAAGUGAUAAUAGCAAAAUAGAACAAACUGAUACUAAUUCAAAUUCAGAAGUACCUUUCGGUGAAUCUGCUUCACCGAAAAUUGUUCCGGUAACUAAGGAGGUGAAUGGCUUAGAAACUUCUGAUGCAAUGGCUUCAAAAGCACCUAUUCCAGUGUCUGCUACCAAUUCCUCCAUUAUGAAAGGUUGUGAUCUGUACCAUGGAAAUUGGAUAUAUGAUCCAUUGGGACCGUUAUACACAAACAACUCGUGUCCUGUAUUGACACAGACGCAGAAUUGUCAGGGUAAUGGUAGGCCUGAUAAAGAUUAUGAGAAUUGGCGAUGGAAACCUUUUCAGUGCGACAUCCCACGAUUUGAUCCGAGGAAGUUUUUGGAGCUAAUGAGAGGCAAGACAUUGGCUUUUAUUGGCGAUUCAGUGGCUCGAAACCAGAUGGAGUCAAUGCUGUGUAUUCUCUGGCAGGCAGAGGAACCCGAGAAUCAGGGACAUCGCAACAUACAGCGAUAUUAUUUUAAGUCUACAUCUGUAACGAUUGUCCGAAUAUGGUCCUCAUGGCUUGUCAAACAUAAUUCAGAACCAUUUGACUUUGCUCCAGCUGGUGUGGAGAAAAUCUAUCUUGAUUCCCCUGAUGAGAUGUUGAUGGAAUUUCUCCCAACAUUUGACAUCGUUGUUCUUUCUUCUGGCCAUUGGUUUACUAAGCAAUCUGCAUAUAUCUUAAACAACGAGAUCGUAGGAGGACAAUUGUGGUGGCCAGAUAAGUCUCGGCGUAUGAAAAUCAACAGCGUUGAAGCAUUCGGUAUAUCUGUCGAAACAAUUUUUACUGCUCUUGUUACGCAUGCAAAUUAUACUGGACUUACAAUUUUGCGUUCAUAUUCACCCGAUCAUUACGAGGGUGGAGGAUGGAACACAGGUGGAUCAUGUACUGGGAAAACUAAGCCUCUUUCGCCCGGUGAAUUGGUGGAAAGUAAGUAUCUCGUUGCGAUGUACGAGCAACAGGUUAAAGGUUUUAACCGUGCGGUAAAAAAGACGACAAAUGGAUCUAAGAUGAGAUUGAUGGAUAUUACUGAAGCCUUUCAAUAUCGACAUGAUGGUCAUCCCGGUCCAUAUAGGAGCACUGAUCCUAACAAGAUUACGAAACGAGGCCGAGAUGGAAGACCACCGCCGCAGGAUUGCUUGCACUGGUGCAUGCCGGGACCUGUUGAUGCAUGGAAUGAAAUUAUGUUUGAAAUCAUAAAGAGAGAAUUCGACCGUGAUAGAACAUUGUAAGAUUUAUUUUUUCUCGACAACAAAGAUAUCAAUCAUCUCAAUCAGAAACCUAGUGAAUUCAACUCGAUUGAUGUUCCAAUUCAAACUCGAUUGCUUCCAUCGUUUCAAACUUGAUUUCCUCCACUGUUUCAAACUCGAUUACCUCCAUUGUAUUUAAAAUGAACUAUCUCCAUCAUUCUUACAAUCCAAGUCAUCAAUCGUCAUCCACUAUCAUUAACGUGUUCACCUCCACCAUCAUCAACCGUCCAUGUUGCUAGGUACAACUCACUACUAUGACAAUUUCAGGUAUUAUGGUUGUUGAUGGGUUCUUGAGGAGUGAUUGUGGAAACAGAGGGAAAAUUUCAUAAUUCGCAUACAUUUGCCAAGCGAAAAAUAAUUUCGCUAAGCAAAUUUAGUCUUAGGACCAACAUGGUUGCUUCAAACUUAAAUUCCCAAGCGAGUUAUAAAUUCUCUAAGCAAAUUUGACAGAUUCUGAACAAAUUAGCCUAUGUACUAGAUUCACCGACUGAAUUUGACGAAUUUGAAAAUAUUCCUUGUAGUUUUUAUUUGUGUUUA